RNAcentral lists this ribosomal RNA (416 nucleotides) under Clostridioides difficile. RNAcentral's name for it is "bacterial LSU rRNA". It matches the Rfam family "Bacterial large subunit ribosomal RNA", at positions 2339 to 2754 of the family's 2925-position model. The record is from RNAcentral. Lineage: Bacteria; Bacillati; Bacillota; Clostridia; Peptostreptococcales; Peptostreptococcaceae.
CGUACGUAGAGUGUAAAGGCAAAAGAGAGCUUGAUUGCAAGACAUACAGGUCGAGCAAGGAUGAAAAUCGGACUUAGUGAUCCGGUGGUUCUGCGUGGAAGGGCCAUCGCUCAACGGAUAAAAGCUACCCUGGGGAUAACAGGCUUAUCUCCCCCAAGAGUCCACAUCGACGGGGAGGUUUGGCACCUCGAUGUCGGCUCAUCACAUCCUGGGGCUGUAGUAGGUCCCAAGGGUUGGGCUGUUCGCCCAUUAAAGUGGUACGCGAGCUGGGUUCAGAACGUCGUGAGACAGUUCGGUCCCUAUCCGUCGCAGGCGUAGGAAAUUUGAGAAGACCUGUCCUUAGUACGAGAGGACCGGGAUGGACGUACCUCUGGUGUACCAGUUGUCCUGCCAAGGGCAUGGCUGGGUAGCUAUGU